GACACAGCCAAAGAGUUCUGAAUUAUUGUUCUGAAAUAUUUUGUUGGCCUUUCUUUCUCCUUGGCUCUGAAAAGUGAUUGUGAUGCCAGCGGAGAGGAAGAAAGAGAGAGAGGCGAUGAACAACUGUGGGCUGAGAUUGAUUAGCUCACAAGGGCAACUCUUUCCUAGGAUGGGACAAGAGCUGGAUGAGGACAACAACACCUCUUUCCUGCUUCAGUAGAUGCCUGAAACACUGUUGGAAGAACAUUUGGAAUGAGUUUCACCUAACACAAAGCCAUCUUUCUGUCUGGCUCUCCUCUUCAAUAAACUGCAACCUUCUUUCUAAAGCAGUCGCCAUGUUGUUUAUUCCUGGCUUGGACUGAACCAUGAUGAAGACUUUUCCUUCAACACUUAUUAAGGAGCUCCAGGAAGAUUAUAGG
Molecule: long non-coding RNA, 419 nt
Organism: Crotalus tigris (Tiger rattlesnake)
Lineage: Eukaryota; Metazoa; Chordata; Lepidosauria; Squamata; Viperidae
Exons: 3
Source: RefSeq, a predicted model, not a curated record